Molecule: long non-coding RNA, 342 nt
Organism: Temnothorax curvispinosus
Lineage: Eukaryota; Metazoa; Arthropoda; Insecta; Hymenoptera; Formicidae
Exons: 4
Source: RefSeq, a predicted model, not a curated record
AUAUUAUAAAUUACAUUUGUGAAAAUGUCAGUGUUAAGGCUAACAAAAUUGACAAAAUAAUCAAUAAAUUGACUCUUCGAUAUGCUGACGUUUUGAAAGAGAUUUAUCAGUUCAAUUUGCAAACAAUGCAUCAUCCGUUGGAGUUUACUGGAAUGGGUUUUUUCCCCUUGGGCAACAAAUUUUUCAUAAAGUUCUGCGUAACAAUUACAACGUAUUUGAUCAUCGUUAUACAAAUGUCGAACGCCUGAAGACUUCAUAUUAAGUUUAGAAUCCCAAAAGCGCAUCAAAAUAAUUAUCUGUAAUUACAUCGAUUAUAUGCGUGUAUAUCACUUGCCAGUGUAG